This is a non-coding RNA of Salmo salar (Atlantic salmon), 72 nucleotides long. Lineage: Eukaryota; Metazoa; Chordata; Actinopteri; Salmoniformes; Salmonidae. The record is from Rfam.
UCCCUUGUGGCUCAGUUGGUAGAGCAUGGUGUUUGCAACGCCAGGGUUGUGGGUUCGAUUCCCACGGGGGAC